Molecule: ribosomal RNA, 436 nt
Filed under: uncultured bacterium
Lineage: Bacteria
Description: partial 16S ribosomal RNA
Rfam family: Bacterial small subunit ribosomal RNA
Source: RNAcentral
AGCGAACGCUGGCGGCAGGCUUAACACAUGCAAGUCGAGCGGGCAUCCUUGUGGUGUCAGCGGCAGACGGGUGAGUAACGCGUGGGAACGUGCCCUUCGGUUCGGAAUAACUCAGGGAAACUUGAGCUAAUACCGGAUACGCCCUUUUGGGGAAAGGUUUACUGCCGAAGGAUCGGCCCGCGUCUGAUUAGCUAGUUGGUGAGGUUAUGGCUCACCAAGGCGACGAUCAGUAGCUGGUCUGAGAGGAUGAUCAGCCACACUGGGACUGAGACACGGCCCAGACUCCUACGGGAAGCAGCAGUGGGGAAUAUUGGACAAUGGGGGCAACCCUGAUCCAGCCAUGCCGCGUGAGUGAUGACGGCCUUAGGGUUGUAAAGCUCUUUUCUCCGGGACGAUAAUGACGGUACCGGAGGAAUAAGCCCCGGCUAACUUCGUG